AAGUUUUAUAUAAACUCGUCUUGUUUCAAAAACCUUCAUCCUAAUUCAAAAUGAUGAACAAAAUCUUAUUACUGACUUUGAUGUUGGCUGUUGCGUCAAUGCUGAUUCUAAACGUAGAAGGAGCCUGCAGACCUGCAUGUCCGCCCGGUCAAGCAUGCAUUGGAGGCCAAUGUACGAAACAAUGAGGAUAAUUCGCAAGAUAUAUCAUCGGACAUCAUAAUCAAGGAACGACACGACAUAUUAAAGUGCUUAUAAACGGAUUAUAAUUAAUAAAAAUAAAUCAAAACAU
Styela clava is the source of this 289-nucleotide long non-coding RNA. RefSeq lists it as uncharacterized. Lineage: Eukaryota; Metazoa; Chordata; Ascidiacea; Stolidobranchia; Styelidae. The record is from RefSeq and is a predicted model, not a curated record.